AGAAAAACAAGCGGUGACGCCAUUUUACGACGACUUUUCUGUGCGUUAGCUGCUCUUUUAUCAAACUUACACAUCGAGAGAUAAUGUCGCACAGUCGCAGCGAUUGUAGAAUCUACGUGGGCAACUUGCCGCCAGACAUACGCAGCAAGGACAUUCAGGAUCUGUUCUAUAAAUUCGGUAAAGUAUUGUUUGUUGAUUUGAAGAAUCGACGCGGCCCGCCGUUUGCUUUCGUGGAGUUUGAAGAUGCCCGUGAUGCGGACGAUGCAGUUCAUGCCAGAGAUGGAUACGACUAUGAUGGAUAUCGCCUUAGAGUAGAAUUCCCAAGAGGUGGUGGCCCAGGUGGAUUCCGCGGUGGUCGCGGAGGCGGUGGUGGUGGCGGAGGAGGCGGCGGCGGUGAUCGCGGUCGGUCAUCCCGCGGACCGCCAGCCAGACGCUCACAAUUCCGUGUUCUGGUCACUGGAUUGCCACCUUCUGGAUCUUGGCAGGAUUUGAAGGAUCACAUGAGAGAGGCUGGUGAUGUUUGCUUUGCUGAUGCAUUCAAGGAUGGGUCUGGUGUGGUUGAAUUCUUGAGGUAUGAGGAUAUGAAGUAUGCAAUUAAGAAGUUGGAUGAUUCAAGGUUUAGAUCACAUGAGGGAGAAGUAUCAUACAUUAGAGUAAAAGAAGAUCGCGGUGCAUCAGAGAGGAAGUCUGGAGGACGAUCAAGAAGUCGCUCCUUUUCUCCGAGACGACGAGGCUCACCAACUUACAGCCCCGUGAAGCGCAGCUAUUCGCGUAGCCGCUCUCGCUCUUAAGCGAACGCGUCCAUCGCCGCAAAAGCGACGAGAGAUUAACUAAAACACGAUUGGCAGGAUGAAAACGGAAAGCUUGCGCGACGCGCGCGCAAGAGGAUUUGCGGCUGUAAACUUGUGGGGGAGAAAGGAAUUGCGUGGAUGGUCAGGAUUAGGAUAACAAAAAACUCGGACACGCGUUGCUCUCUUCUGCGUCCGGCGCUCGCUCAGAUCGUAAUCACUUCAUCGUGGAGAACCUAGACCAGGAUCAAAACUCUGUGUAGGACCCGAUUUUCGUAACUCAAAUAAAAUUCAAUCACAUAAAGACACCUUAAAAAGCAUCAGACACACAGUUACACGAAUUUAAACCUAAUUUAUAAAAAAAAAACGUACACGAAAGUCGCCGGCCCGAAAAAGGACUUCGUGGGACUUAGGGAUGCGUAGGAUGAGGCCAGGACUAAGGACUCUGGAUGAAGUGAGCGGACGCGAAAGGCGGACAGGAAACAGGAGCGCGGAGGGAGAGGAUGCCCCCGAAGGAGGCGUGUGGUGGGACGUACGGAAGGAUAAUGUGCAGGAUUAAGUAGGAUAAGGCAUGCGCGCAGUCAGAUUUUGCCCCCAGAACAAAAAAACGACAAGUAAAUUGCUCUAAGUCUGUGAACUUGAUGAUGAUGAUGAUGAGGACGAAGGUGGUUUAAUUAUGUAUCUGACGAGGUGGACACAAAUCAAAUGAGUUGUAUAUUUUAUUUUGUCGACAACUUGCUGUUUUCGAAAAUUACGACUAUUUACUAAUUGAUUUUUCUUCAAUAUGAUUCCAAUUGAUUUUCAUAUGUAAUUGAUUAAAGCAUUAAAGAACUUUGAAUCUUUUAAA
Dalotia coriaria is the source of this 1635-nucleotide RNA transcript. It is a transcript of the gene named splicing factor 2, with no coding region annotated. The record is from RefSeq and is a predicted model, not a curated record. NCBI's taxonomy places the organism in Eukaryota, Metazoa, Arthropoda, Insecta, Coleoptera, Staphylinidae. The transcript has 5 exons.